AGCUUUGCAAAUCAACCUCUCGAUGAAUGAUGAUGGCACCAGUGAAAUCAGGGAGGCAGGAAAUCAUGUUAGUUUGGUUUAUAAUGCAAGAAGUUACAGAAUACAGAGUGCUCAAAACUAAGAACGUGCUUCUUGGGACUCAGCCAGGAUUCAAACUAUAAAGGAAAAUCGGAAAUUGGACCUUUGAGGACCAGCUGGGACUUGGGAAUACAGAAAGAAGUCCUUCAACUCAACAACAAAAAGACAAACAACCCAAAGAAUUGUCGAAGGAUUUGAAUAGUCAACACUCCAAAGAAGAUAUAUAAAUGGCCAGUAAGCACCUGAAGAGAUGCUCAACAUCACUAAUCAUUAGGAAAAUGAAAAUCAAAACCACAGUGAGAUAUCACUUCAUACAGCUCUGUCUACUGAAAACGCCAAAUAACAAAAUCAACACAACAGCAAUAAGCAGCCUAGCCUAGUACCUAAGUUGUCUCUAAGUACCAUUUCCCCAGGAAAAAAAAACUAAGAACUCUUAAAGAAGGGUGCAUUUCAAGAUCUGAGCAGGAAAUAUAUAGGACAAUCCUGGAAUAUCUUGUUAUAGAAAGAGAAAAGCCUCUUAUGAGGUCCACUAGAACCAUGCCAGAUGAGUUCAGGAGGCACCUUGUUAAUCUCCCAUUUACCAAGGAUGGGACCAUUUGAACAUCAAUAAAAAUAACUGCAACAAUUUGAAGUACAGAAAAUAUGUUUACUCCCAUGAGUCCAUAAUAAUACUUUUUAA
Molecule: long non-coding RNA, 757 nt
Organism: Symphalangus syndactylus (siamang)
Lineage: Eukaryota; Metazoa; Chordata; Mammalia; Primates; Hylobatidae
Source: RefSeq, a predicted model, not a curated record